CGAGGGGUAUUUAUCUUCGGAUAGAGAGACCGGCGCACGGGUGCGUAACGCGUAUGCAAUCUACCUUUUACAGAGGGAUAGCCCAGAGAAAUUUGGAUUAAUACCUCAUAGUAUGCAGAGUUGGCAUCAACACUGCAUUAAAGUCACAACGGUAAAAGAUGAGCAUGCGUCCCAUUAGCUAGUUGGUAAGGUAACGGCUUACCAAGGCUACGAUGGGUAGGGGUCCUGAGAGGGAGAUCCCCCACACUGGUACUGAGACACGGACCAGACUCCUACGGGAGGCAGCAGUGAGGAAUAUUGGACAAUGGGCGCAAGCCUGAUCCAGCCAUGCCGCGUGCAGGAUGACGGUCCUAUGGAUUGUAAACUGCUUUUAUACGAGAAGAAACACUGCUUCGUGAAGCAGCUUGACGGUAUCGUAAGAAUAAGGAUCGGCUAACUCCGUGCCAGCAGCCGCGGUAAUACGGAGGAUCCAAGCGUUAUCCGGAAUCAUUGGGUUUAAAGGGUCCGUAGGCGGUUUAAUAAGUCAGUGGUGAAAGCCCAUCGCUCAACGGUGGAACGGCCAUUGAUACUGUUAGACUUGAAUUAUUAGGAAGUAACUAGAAUAUGUAGUGUAGCGGUGAAAUGCUUAGAGAUUACAUGGAAUACCAAUUGCGAAGGCAGGUUACUACUAAUGGAUUGACGCUGAUGGACGAAAGCGUGGGUAGCGAACAGGAUUAGAUACCCUGGUAGUCCACGCCGUANACGAUGGAUACUAGCUGUUGGNAGCAAUUUCAGUGGCU
Molecule: ribosomal RNA, 779 nt
Filed under: uncultured Bacteroidota bacterium
Lineage: Bacteria; Pseudomonadati; Bacteroidota
Description: bacterial SSU rRNA
Rfam family: Bacterial small subunit ribosomal RNA
Source: RNAcentral